AUAGAAAUCUAUAAAAUAUAACCGAGUCGCAAAAGAACAAUUAAUAUAGUGUAUAAUAUUCAGGCUGGCUGGAUAAUUUAUUUUUUAUUGGUUUGGUCAAUUGGGAUCUCGUUUUGUACCCCACAUAGAGAAAACUUUCGCAUAUCCAAAUAUUCAUGAACCUAUGUUCGACACUGCUGAACAAUCGAACAGCAAACAUCUACAGAUUAUCAAAUCUCGAUAAAUGUCAUUUAAAGGUUGAAAAAAUCAUGUGGAUGUUUUUUAAGGAAUAUACACAGAGUCCGGGGAACAUUCACCAAACCAUGGAAUUUUUCAAAAUGUCUGAAAUCAAUUAUGCGCCAUGCACUUGUAUAUAACUAAGGUACAGUUAUUCCAAUGAUGAUCCAAUAAUUUUAUGCCAUCCCUAUA
This is a long non-coding RNA of Bactrocera oleae (olive fruit fly), 408 nucleotides long. RefSeq lists it as uncharacterized. The record is from RefSeq and is a predicted model, not a curated record. NCBI's taxonomy places the organism in Eukaryota, Metazoa, Arthropoda, Insecta, Diptera, Tephritidae.